Molecule: ribosomal RNA, 395 nt
Filed under: uncultured bacterium
Lineage: Bacteria
Description: partial 16S ribosomal RNA
Rfam family: Bacterial small subunit ribosomal RNA
Source: RNAcentral
AAUAUUGCACAAUGGGGGAAACCCUGAUGCAGCGACGCCGCGUGAGCGAAGAAGGCCUUCGGGUCGUAAAGCUCUGUCCUACGGGAAGAAACGGACGGUACCCUAGGAGGAAGCCCCGGCUAACUACGUGCCAGCAGCCGCGGUAAUACGGAGGGGGCGAGCGUGAUCCGGAAUUACUGGGCGUAAAGGGUGCGUAGGCGGGCUUUUAAGGAAGAUGUGAAAGGCUACGGCUUAACGGGAGUGAGCAUUUGAAACUAAAAGGCUUGAGUGAAGGAGAGGAGAGUGGAAUUCCUAGUGUAGCGGUGAAAGGCGUAGAUAUUAGGAGGAACACCAGUGGCGAAGGCGACUCUCUGGACUGCAACUGACGCUGAGGCACGAAAGCGUGGGGAGCGAAC